Molecule: long non-coding RNA, 245 nt
Filed under: Mytilus galloprovincialis (Mediterranean mussel)
Lineage: Eukaryota; Metazoa; Mollusca; Bivalvia; Mytilida; Mytilidae
Source: RNAcentral
UCUGGAUUUUUUAUGACAUCUCCUUAAUCGAGUCAUUAUAUUUUUGUCAUCGGGAUAUGUUUUUGAUGUUUGGAAUAUAGAUGCAUCUCACAAGCUACACCAGGAUCACUGCAAUAACAUAUGACGUUUAUCUUUGUCCUCAGGUUCAAAACAGAAAGACGAACGAAAUAAAACAAGAGGACACACCCAUCACGAUAUAGUUCUCUUAAAAAGGCGGAAUAUAACAUUAAAUAGCAACAAAGGAG